AUGCGGUGGAGGCGCGCGGGCGCUCGAUCUACGUGCGCCGGUGGAUCCACCCCUCCCCAGCUCCUACCUCCACCCCUACAGAAGGCGAAGAAGACUCGGCCCAGCUCCCUCCUCUCCCGGAUCCCCAGGCCCAGCACGACGUCGCCGGCGCUCGGGCACUUGAAGAGGCGGAAUCGGAGCUGCUGCUGGUGGUGGAGGCCCCCGGGGGAGGCGCUGGGGGAGGAGGCCACCGCCGCGUCCUUGGGCGGGCUGCCCAUGCCGUCAGUCCGCGGCGAGCGCAGGGAGCCACUAGUGGCGAACAAUUCCGUGGCGGCGGCGUCGGACUACAGGGACUACAGGGAGUUCCUGUCCCAUUACUGCAGCAGGUUCUGA
Molecule: ribosomal RNA, 372 nt
Filed under: Triticum aestivum (bread wheat)
Lineage: Eukaryota; Viridiplantae; Streptophyta; Magnoliopsida; Poales; Poaceae
Description: partial small subunit ribosomal RNA
Source: RNAcentral